This 869-nucleotide long non-coding RNA is filed under the name Mus spicilegus (steppe mouse). Its description in RNAcentral is "lncRNA (ENSMSIG00000006191.1)". The record is from RNAcentral. Lineage: Eukaryota; Metazoa; Chordata; Mammalia; Rodentia; Muridae.
AAACGAGAAUUUUAAGGUAGAAAGCUCAUCUUCUUCAGUCUCCCAGCUAUAAGUUCCACCCAUGCAUGUCCUCUACUGGUGGCAGCAGAAAUGGGCAGUGGGCAUCUCAGGAAGCCAUGUUGGGAAGAAGAAUUGAAGUGGCCAAGUCUUGUGCCAUUGAAGCUUGGCACUGCUGUGAGAGCCCUUCAUGUCAAGUGAAGAAGAGCUCAGAGAAACUGAGGAUGGCUAUGAACAAAAGUCCUCCCCAGUAAACAUUUAGACUGAGUUAAAAUGAAGUGCAUUGACCCAAGUGAAAGAUUCUUGUUGAAUGGCAGAAAGGCCUUCCAGAAGAACUGCAUGGAGAGUCACUAUCUUGACCUUCCCAUCAUGCUUCAGGCACAGAUGCUGACUCUGAAACCCAUUCUAACAAGCAUGCAUGUGCACACACAGACUGCAACAUCAUCAUCAUCAUCAUCAUCAUCUAAUGUUGUAAGGUUUCCACCCGUAUGAAUUUGGAAGAAGUGUAGACACAGAAGUGGACUGGUGACCAGAGUCCAGCCUUUUCUUCAGAAUCAAUAUCCACAGUCUGGCCAUGGGACCUAAGCCUGAAUGUGCCUAUGUGAAGGUGCUGAGAAGGAGCACAGAGGCAAAAGGAUGCCCUGAAUCCUGAUGCACCCAGUUCAAAGCGAAUGAAUCAGGGAGGGAUUUGAAGAACGCUGUCUCCACCCCAAGGCAUUUCCAUCCUUUUAUUGCUCUCCCAACUUUAUGGUUACUUUGAGCACUGUAGCUUAUUUAGCUACUUCCCUGGGUAGGGCAGAUAUUUCAACAGAUGUGAGCUAUGCCAACUAUCACCUACAGGGAAGGAGAUUAUAAAGGAAAGAACAUUUGAG